RNAcentral lists this long non-coding RNA (3042 nucleotides) under Medicago truncatula (barrel medic). Its description in RNAcentral is "long non-coding RNA (MTRU_LNC000788)". Lineage: Eukaryota; Viridiplantae; Streptophyta; Magnoliopsida; Fabales; Fabaceae. The record is from RNAcentral.
GCUUUCUGAAUCUUCCAUUAGAACCAUGUUGGCUUCAGUGUCUUCAUCUUUUGAUUCUUCAAGAUCAUCCCAGGUAAACAUUGAUUUUGAGUAGGGAGAUUUCUUCUGACUCUUUUUGUUCAAUGGACAUUCGUUUUUGUAAUGUCCUAAUUUGUUGCAUCCAAAGCAAGUUACUUGACUUUUGUCAAUUUCUCCUUUUGAGUUAUCUUUCUUGUUGGGAAAGUAUUUCUUUAUUUGAUCUCUUCUUCUCAUCAUUCUUUGAAUCUUCUUUGUGAUGAGAGCUAGUUCGUCUUCUGCUUCCCCUUGGAUGUUUUCUUCUUCAUUGGCUUCUUCAGUUUCUUCGUUUUGUGGGAAGGCAUCUUUUUGUUCACUUUGAGAUGCUUUGAGAGCAACCAUCUUUCAUUUCCUUGAUGGUUUAUCAUCUUGAAGUAACGUCUCAUGAGCUUUUAAUGAUCCAAUGAGAUCUUCAAGAGCUAAGGAGUUUAAGUCUUUAGCUUGUGUGAUUGCAGUUACCAUGGGUCUCCAUGUGCUUGGAAGACAUCUUAAAAUUUUUCUUAUCCGAUCAUGAGUGGUAUAAGUUUUUCCCAGUGAUCUUAAUUCAUUCACAAUAGAUGUGAAUCUGGAGUACAUUUCAUCAAUGUUCUCAUCUUCGUUCAUUUCGAAGAUUUCAAAUUUUCUUACGCCAAUAUCUAUUCUUGUUUCUUUUACGUGGCUAGUUCCCUCAUGAUGAAUUUUUAGAGUGUCCCAAACUUCUUUUGCAGUGACACAUUCAUCAACUCUUUCACUUUCUUCCAUGCUUAGUGCGCAUGAUAGAAAGAGUCGAGCUUUGGAGUUUAGAAGUACUUUUUCUUUAUCUUCCUUUGACCAUGAUGCUUCUGGUGUGAGUGUAUCCACCUUUGUUGUUGCAUCAGUUGUCAUAGGUAUAUGUUCUCCAUUUGUGAUUAUUUUCCACAUAUCCACGUCUUGGGAUCUGAGGAAUAGUUUCAUUUUUCCUUUCCAGAAAUAAUAGUUCUUUCCAUUGAAGAAUGGUGGUCUUGUGCAUGAUAGACCUUCUGGUAUGUACUUUUCUUUUGACAUUGCCUUCUUCCUGAAUCUUUUCCUCCAACACUUGUUAGGUGUUUUUGUAGAGCCCGGGCUCUGAUACCAAUUAAAGUAGCAAUAAACGUCACAAGAAAGGGGGGUUUGAAUUGUGACCCUUUUAAAAAUUAUUCCUGAAACUUAAGUUUAGAUUUAUAUACUCAAGAAUAAUCUUGGUGUAUGUUAGCUUAACAAGAUUAGAGUAUAUAACAAUUAAUUGAAUUUAGAACAGAACAUUCUGAAGACUGAUUAUAAACAGAAUGAGAAAAAUGAUGUUAAGUUAAAAGAUUAUUUUAGCAAGGACCAGAAUGUUCUGGAGAUUAAUAAAAUAAUGUGUGUGUGUGUUGUGUAACUUUAAAUAAAGAGAGAGAUAGAGAUAGAGAGAGAGAGAGAGAGAGAAGAAUAACACAGGAGAGUUAUCCUGGUUCACCAAACCCGGCUACUUCCAGUCCCCACACCUCGUGUGAGAUUAUCCACUAUAGUUUUCUUGCUAACAGAAACUUCUGACUAGCACUACAAUAUCUUGAUCACACCAGAUCAGUCCGUAACCUCUGUAUUAUCAACCUCAGCAGGCUUAUACAAUUCUUUGCACACUAGCAAAAGAAAGGUUGGAAUUUUCUAUCUCAAAACUAUUAAGCCCAAUAGACUUUGAGAAAUACAACACUCUUUGUAUGAAGAGAUUUGUUUUGGAUCGAAUAAAUACUCAAAUCUUUGUUUGAGUUUUACAAGAGGCAAAUUCAAGAGAGAUGAUCCAAGAGAUAUAGUGAGAGAGCUUGGAAUUUGCUUUGUUUGUGAAGAGCUUUGUUUGUAGUGAUGAUUUUCACUUUGAGAGAUAUUAGCUUGCAAAACUCUUGCUUAUGACCUUCAAAGGCCCUUGUAUUUAUAGGUGAGGAGUGUCUUGGUACCAAGGGAGAAAAUAGAGCUGUUGGACACGUUUUUGAUAGCUGUCCAAAGUCUCAAUUGAUUUCUCUUUUCUUCUUUAAAAUAGCCAGAACGUUCUCAGAAUGUUCUUUCUGAUUUGCCUGACUUAGAAAGCACUGUUGCUUUGCUUGCGCAUGAGAUAACCAGCUGUGAUGAGCUGUAUAACUUGCAGCCCACUUCUGAUGAUGUCAUGUCCUUUUGCUCUAGUGAUGUCAUGCUUAAGUAAGCCAUGUGAUCUUAUCCAUUUAAUGGGCUUUACUUUUUCAAAUGGGCUUAAAGCUUUUCUUAUGGCCCAAUAGACAUAAUCAGCCAAGCUUUCUUGCUGUGCAGACUUGUUCGCUUUUGAUGUACUGUUCCAUUUUCAUCGUUUUCGCCAGAACGUUCUCAAUUCAUUCUCAUGAAACAAAUUCUCACAAAAACGAAUUAGUAGAUAACAAGAUUAAAUAAAUAUAAUAUGUUUGUAAUCUUUAAAACAUCAAAUAAGGAUUUUGUCUCAACAACUUUGUCCUCCGCACGAUUUAUUAGGAGCUUUGUCCUCCGCACGUUUAAAGUAUAUUAAUACUUAUGAUGACGAUUGGUACCACAUGCAUAUAAGGAGUCUAAGAGCAUUGUCGCAUUGUCGUGUCUAAGAUGCUAUGUUGUUGAUGAUGAUUGAAUAUGUGAUUACGUGAUAAUUGUUUAUCAAAUAUGCAAAGUUGUUUAAGAUUGAAUAUGAUGUUAAUGUUAAUUUAUGAUUCGAAUUACAUUGAUUAAUAUUAUUUUGUUAUGAAAUCUCACCCCUUCUGCUUGAAAAUGUUGCCCUUCGUAUGGGUAACUUGCAGGUGAUCGUGCUUAGUGUGCAGUUUGCCGUUGUGAGUGGCCUUGCCUCGCUGUGUCGUCUAGGUCGCUCUGAUACGUAACGGGAUGGGGUUUUAUGUUAUGCAUGCUUCAUUCUCUUACGUAACUAAUAUGUUAUUUUUAUAAUAUUAUCAAUUAUGAUUUGAAAUAUUUUGAUGGGGCCUGCGUGCCGAAACGUUUUAUGGAUUAUGAUAUAAUUUCCGCUGC